Molecule: regulatory RNA element, 54 nt
Organism: Gasterosteus aculeatus (three-spined stickleback)
Lineage: Eukaryota; Metazoa; Chordata; Actinopteri; Perciformes; Gasterosteidae
Rfam family: UnaL2 LINE 3' element
About the family: The eel long interspersed element (LINE) UnaL2 and its partner short interspersed element (SINE) share a conserved 3' tail containing a stem-loop that is critical for their retrotransposition. Presumably, the first step of retrotransposition is the recognition of their 3' tails by UnaL2-encoded reverse transcriptase. The solution structure of a 17-nucleotide RNA derived from the 3' tail of UnaL2 was determined by NMR.
Source: Rfam
UUUAAAGUGUAAUGUAAGUCGCUUUGGAUAAAAGCGUCUGCAAAAUGACACGUA